Molecule: RNA transcript, 3926 nt
Organism: Ochotona curzoniae (black-lipped pika)
Lineage: Eukaryota; Metazoa; Chordata; Mammalia; Lagomorpha; Ochotonidae
Gene: CREBZF
Gene name: CREB/ATF bZIP transcription factor
Exons: 3
Source: RefSeq, a predicted model, not a curated record
UUGUCUGGGUGGCGCGGUCGAGUCAUCGCUGGGCCGCCCCGCUUCCAUCUCCCCUUCCUGCCCCCCGCGCCGGUGCGGGGGGUCCAGCAGCCGAGCGCGGCGGGAGGAGGCCGGAACGGAACCUCCACCUGGUCUCGCCCGGCGCCCCGGCUGCCUGCGCUGGGGCCUGGGGCCUUGGGGGCCUGCGUGGGGCCGGGGCCUGCGUGGGCCCGUCGCCGGGCCCCAUGAGGCAUAGCCUGACCAAGCUGCUGGCAGCGUCGGGCAGCGACUCCCCGACCCGCAGCGAGAGCCCGGCGCCGGCCGCGACCUGCUCGCGGAGCCGGGACCCGAGCCGGGACGCGGCGCCGGCGGCCGACGGGGAGAAGCAGACGGCGGCGGCCGGAUCUCCCGGCCGCCGGGAGCCGCACGGCGACGGGGACGAGUUGGAGGCCGGGAGGGGGAGCCGCGGCGGCGGCGGCGGCGGCGGCGGCCUGGCCGACCGCGCGCCCUCCCCCGAGGAGAUGGAGGAAGAGGCAAUGGCCAGCGUCCCGGGCGAAGAGGCCGAGGACAUGGACUUUCUGUCGGGGCUGGAGCUGGCGGAUCUGCUGGACCCUCGGCAGCCGGACUGGCACCUGGAGCCCGGGCUCAGCUCGCCCGGUCCUCUCUCCUCGUCGGGCGGAGGUUCGGAGAGCGGCGGCCUCUGGAGAGGCGAGGACGACGACGAGGCCGCGGCCGCCGAGAUGCAGCGCUUCUCCGACCUGCUGCAGAGGCUGUUGAACGGCAUCGGAGGCUGCAGCAGCGGCAGUGACAGUGGCAGCGGCGAAAAGAGGCGGAGAAAGUCCCCCGCAGGCGGCGGCGGGGGCGGCGGCAACGACCACAGCCAGGCGGCGACCAAGAGUCCCCGGAAGGCGGCGGCGGCGGCUGCCCGGCUCAACCGGCUCAAGAAGAAGGAGUACGUGAUGGGGCUGGAGAGUCGGGUGCGCGGGCUGGCAGCCGAGAACCAGGAGCUGCGGGCCGAGAAUCGGGAGCUGAGCAAACGCGUGCAGGCGCUGCAGGAGGAGAGUCGCUACCUACGGGCCGUCCUGGCCAACGAGACCGGACUGGCUCGCUUGCUGAGCCGGCUGAGCGGCGUGGGACUGCGGCUGACCACCUCGCUCUUCAGAGACUCGCCCGCCGGGGACCACGACUACGCGCUGCCCGUGGGAAAGCAGCAGCAGCAGCAGCAGCAGCAGCAGCAGCAGGACGCGCUGGACGAGGACGACGCCGCGGGAGGAGUGUGUCUGCAUGUGGACAAGGAUAAGGUGUCGGUGGAGUUCUGCUCGGCGUGCGCUCGGAAGGCGUCGUCUUCUCUUAAAAUUUUCUUUUUUAGGUGAUUUCCUUCCUGCCAGGCUCCGUUGUAGGGGUACAGAGCAGUCGUUCCCGCCUCACAACCUGUGGAUACAGCUGUUGGGGCAGAAGAGACGGGACCAGCUGCUGGCCACAUUUCCUGCUUUAUUUUAAAAGGUAGUAUAAGAAAUGAGGAAAAAGAGGUAAUAUCAGGGCUUCUGCUGUCUUUUGUUUUUAAAAUGUUCAUAAUUAAAAAGUAUUUUCCAGCAGUCCAAAGAUGUAAGUUAUCUUAUGAAAUGUUUUAUUUUGUUGUUACUUGGUUAUGAAAUGGAAUCUUGUUCUUGCACAACUGUAAAUGAUCUGUUGCUAGAUAAUAAGAUUUGAGACCUAGAUUGGUCUCUGGUUUCCAGUGCAUCACAGCAUAUUCUGUAAAAUCAUCUACUGCACUUGAGCAUGAAUGGGUAGUAGCUAAACUCACAACCUGGAGUGUUGAACCUGCUUACACAAAAGGGCAGGAGCAAGCCCCUCACAAUGCAGCUGCAUGGAUUUUUAGUGCCUACUGAAUAAUAAAUAUACAUAUAUAUAUAUAUAUAUAUAAACCAAAAGUAGUUGGAAAAUUAUUUGAAAUGACUAAUUUGUGCUAUCUUUAUGAAAUGUUAAAUGUAGCUUUUUGAAAUAGAAGCCUUGAAUUGAAAUUUAACUAAUACUUGAACUUUUUGUAUAUAUUUCUUUGUAUAUAAUUUUGUGCAGUUCCAAUGACAAAAAAUACGGUGUCAUAAUAAAACCAGAUUUGUUGAUCUUUCAGUUAUGGCUCAAAGAAUUUAUUCAUCUCUAACAUGACAUUGGAAAAUAAUGGAUGAAAAUAGGAAAAAUGCUUGUUGUUAAUGCUGACUGUGGGUCUUAAUCAAAAGGUUCUGGAAGCAGUAAGUUCGCUUUUCUAAAAAUUAUAUCAUUCUCUUGGAAUAUUUAUUUCCUAAAGUCAGUGCUUCUCUUGCCAUUAUUUGAAGUUUGGGGUUGGGGGGAAACAAUAGUCCAAACUUUCUGAAUUGAGAUGUUUUGAAUUCUAAGUGUAGAUUUUUAGAUUGUCAUUUUAUAAAUGGCAGUUUUGGAAUUACUUGAGAAAUUUUGAAGAUGGAAAAGAUUAGUAUGACCUAUUUUUAAAGCUGCUUUGUUAGGUUCCUUAUGUUUUUAUUAACUGUCUUUUCUUAGUUUCCAUUUCAUUAAUUUUUUUCUAGUUUUGGUGACUUAGUGAUUUUUGUCAUUUUUUUUACAUCAACUCAUGGUCUUGUUUUUACAUGGUAAUUGCAUGUAUUAGGACCUAUCUAACAGGGGCUUUAAAUUUAUGUGUAAGCACAUUUUACUGUAAAUGUUUGAGUUUUUGAAUUUACAACAGGUGUGUUUAUUUGAGUAUGUAGUAAAUAUCUUAAAGUGUCCUAUUCACUACUUGUUAAUUAAAAGUUAUGAUUAAUAUGAAACUGUUGUCUUACUAUUUUUAGAAAAUUGUGUUUCGAAUGAUUAAUAUUUCGAUAAAGGAGAUUUCUGAAAUAUAAAAUGGAUCGUGUUUUAAAUUUUCCUGUUGGCUUUAUUUAUUGUAAUGAUUGGAAACAGUGUAGUACUGGGGGGCCUUUUCACUUUUUUUCCCCUACUUAUGCCUCAAUGAUAAAAUAAUACAGAACUGAACUAAAGAUAUAGCUUCUUAAUAUUUGUCUUCUGAUGGUAGUAGGAAUUCAUACAUUAAUUGAACUAACACAUAUUGACCUAUCAUUUCUAUCAUAUUGACUUUACUGUUUCUGUACUUCCUUGACCAGACUUGAACUAAAAAGUCCACGUUCAUUAAGAAUGUAGUCACACCUCUGCGUGUUCAGAAUAUUUUAAAUAUUUGUACAUUUUGUGAUCACUAAAUUAAUCUCUCUCUCUUCUCUUCAAACAGCUUAGCAGUGUCUGCAAAAACGAAUCUUUUCCUACAACCUGUUAACUGACUGGACUGAUGGUAACAAAGUAAUUGUGGGAGCCAUGUCGGUCAAAAAUUUGGCAUCUGCUGAAAAAAAAAAAAAAGAAUGCCAUUUUCAAGUUCCCAAAUUACUUCUGUACUGAUUUCACUUUCCAGAAAUGGAGAUAUGAAAAGAUUCUCUGGAGUCCUUGAAAGACUUAAUAGAAAUACAUGAGAGUUAAUUUUGGAACAAAAAUUAGAAUUUUUUUGUCUUUCAUGGGAGUGACACUUCUUUGCAUACCUUUUAAAAACUGUAACCACUGGAGAAGAGUUAGAGUAUUUCAUCAAGAAAUACUAGAGUCUUUAUAUAAUUGAGAGCACGUUCUAUGAAGUUACAUUUAGUGGACUAGAAUUACAUAAACAGACCAUCAGUGAUCACAAGGCAUGUCAUGAGUUUGUAUUUAUUCCCUGGACCAUGAGACUUAACUUGUAGAAAGACAUCUUGCUGAGUAUAAUAUAAAAGUUAAUGUAAAGGUCUUUGUAGUCUUUCUAAAAUAGCUGUAUUGAUUUGUAAUCUUUGAAAAAAGCUGAUUAUGAUUAAAUAUUUGGGUAGCUAAUUGAAAAUUAGGUAAAACCAGGAUGUGUGAAUUCUUAGAUUAUUGGCUUCUGGAGCUUUCUCUGAGUACUUUUU